Oncorhynchus nerka (sockeye salmon) is the source of this 538-nucleotide long non-coding RNA. RefSeq lists it as uncharacterized. The transcript has 2 exons. The record is from RefSeq and is a predicted model, not a curated record. NCBI's taxonomy places the organism in Eukaryota, Metazoa, Chordata, Actinopteri, Salmoniformes, Salmonidae.
AACUCAUUCCUAUUUCUGACGCAGAUCGCGCUGAAAGUCCUGCCUCUCCCAUCUCCUCAUUGGUUUAUAGAAGCAGGUACCCACUGUUUUGCCGGUAGUUGUGGUAAUACAAUGAAAGUUUAGAUGUAAUCACCAUAUAAAUUAAACGAUGAAAAAGCCUGGAAGGAGGAGAGAUAACUAGAAACGAUUCGGUUGGCCAUUUUAUGUGUGGAUUAAUUGUCGGAGUAGAGGUCCUUGUGCAUUUCAGGGACUGAUGCCGUCACCAGGGCCCAGACUGGGGCCCCAGAGGGCACAGUGACAGGCCUGGAAUAGAGCUGGAGCACCCUGCCUUGCUCCUCUCUGCCGCCUGCUCUGCCAACCUCUCAGACAGACUGAUCCAACAUUCCUCACCCCUGAAGAUGGCACCCACAGGACUACUUUAUGACCCGAUAACGACCCGUUUCCAAGAAACAGCGGUGGAUGAUUGCUACUACAUUUCAUGUAUGAAAAAAGAAAAAGUCCAGACUCUCUGAAGUAUGUUGUCUGACUGUGAACUAGA